RNAcentral lists this ribosomal RNA (258 nucleotides) under uncultured bacterium. Its description in RNAcentral is "partial 16S ribosomal RNA". It matches the Rfam family "Bacterial small subunit ribosomal RNA", at positions 15 to 266 of the family's 1533-position model. The record is from RNAcentral.
GAUCCUGGCUCAGGACGAACGCUGGCGGCGUGCCUAACACAUGCGAGUCGAGCGGAGACAGUGAGUAGCUUGCUAUGAGCUGUUUUAGCGGCGGACGGGUGAGUAACGCGUGAGCAACCUUUCCCAGACAGGGGAAUAACACACCGAAAGGUGUACUAAUACCGCAUAAGACCACGGGAUCACAUGGUUCUGGGGUAAAAGAAUUACCGGUUUGGGGUGGGCUCGCGUCCGAUUAGGUAGUUGGUGAGGUAACGGCCC